UACAGAGGGUGCAAGCGUUAAUCGGAAUUACUGGGCGUAAAGCGUGCGUAGACGGUUGCGUAAGUCAGAUGUGAAAGCCCCCGGGCUCAACCUGGGAAUUGCAUUUGAGACUGCGUAGCUAGGGUGCGGAAGAGGCGAGUGGAAUUCCUGGUGUAGCGGUGGAAUGCGCAGAUAUCAGGAGGAACACCAAUAGCGAAGGCAGCUCGCUGGGACGGUACUGACGCUGAGGCGCGAAAGCGUGGGGAGCGAACAGG
Molecule: ribosomal RNA, 254 nt
Filed under: uncultured bacterium
Lineage: Bacteria
Description: partial 16S ribosomal RNA
Rfam family: Bacterial small subunit ribosomal RNA
Source: RNAcentral